RNAcentral lists this ribosomal RNA (253 nucleotides) under uncultured bacterium. RNAcentral's name for it is "partial 16S ribosomal RNA". It matches the Rfam family "Bacterial small subunit ribosomal RNA", at positions 524 to 776 of the family's 1533-position model. The record is from RNAcentral.
UACGGGGGGGGCAAGCGUUGUUCGGAAUUACUGGGCGUAAAGGGCGCGUAGGCGGCCGACUAAGUCGGACGUGAAAUCCCCAGGCUCAACCUGGGAACUGCGUCUGAUACUGGACGGCUGGAGUUCGGGAGAGGGAAGUGGAAUUCCAGGUGUAGCGGUGAAAUGCGUAGAUAUCUGGAGGAACACCGGUGGCGAAGGCGGCUUCCUGGACCGACACUGACGCUGAGGCGCGAAAGCCAGGGGAGCAAACGGG